GCAUCCAUGGAGCAGUAGUUAGCUUAUUCCUCUCCCAUCGUACCUACAGAUGGUCAAGUGGUAAGGAAAGACCCGGGUGCAAAUCCCGGUGGAUGCA
Molecule: transfer RNA, 97 nt
Filed under: Hypoxylon rubiginosum
Lineage: Eukaryota; Fungi; Ascomycota; Sordariomycetes; Xylariales; Hypoxylaceae
Description: tRNA-Gly
Source: RNAcentral